RNAcentral lists this ribosomal RNA (462 nucleotides) under uncultured bacterium. RNAcentral's name for it is "partial 16S ribosomal RNA". It matches the Rfam family "Bacterial small subunit ribosomal RNA", at positions 29 to 507 of the family's 1533-position model. The record is from RNAcentral.
AACAAACGCUGGCGGCGUGCCUAAUACAUGCAAGUCGAACGGGGAAAGCUUUCGGGUGAGUACUAGUGGCGCACGGGUGAGGAACGCGUGGAUAAUCUGCCUUAGAGUGGGGGAUAACUAGUCGAAAGAUUAGCUAAUACCGCAUAAGACCACGAGAGCUGCGGCUUUUGAGGUCAAAGGUUUUUCGCUCUAAGAUGAGUCCGCGUAAGAUUAGCUAGUUGGUGAGGUAACGGCUCACCAAGGCGACGAUCUUUAACUGGUCUGAGAGGAUGAUCAGUCACACCGGAACAGAGACACGGACCAGACGCCUACGGGAGGCAGCAGUAGGGAAUAUUGCACAAUGGAGGAAACUCUGAUGCAGCGACGCCGCGUGAGUGAUGAAGGCAUUCGGGUCGUAAAGCUCUGUCGCAGGGGAAUAACACAAUGAAGGUACCCUGUAAGAAAGGAUCGGCUAACUUCGUG